GAUGAAUGUUCGCGGCAUGCUUAACACAUGCAAGUCAGACGGGAAGUGGUGUUUCGAGUGGCGGAUGGGUGAGUAACGAGUAAGAACCUGCCCUCUGGAGGGGAACAACAGCUGGAAAUGGCUGCUAAUACCCUGUAAGCUGAGGAGAAAAAGGAGGAAUCCACCCAAGGAGGGGCUCGCAUCUGAUUAGUUAGUUGGUGAGGAAAUGGCUUACCAAGGCGACGAUCAGUAGCUGGUCUGAGAGGAUGAUCAGCCACACUGGGACUGAGACACGACCCAGACUCCUACGGGAGGUAGCAGUGGGGAAUUUUCUGCAAUGUGAAAAAGCCUGACAGAGCAAUGCUGAUGAAGGCAGAAGGCCCAUGGGUCAUGAACUUCUUUUCUCGGAGAAGAAAAAAUGACGACA
This 406-nucleotide ribosomal RNA is filed under the name uncultured bacterium. RNAcentral describes it as "bacterial SSU rRNA". It matches the Rfam family "Bacterial small subunit ribosomal RNA", at positions 28 to 461 of the family's 1533-position model. The record is from RNAcentral.